UACGUAGGGUGCGAGCGUUGUCCGGAAUUAUUGGGCGUAAAGGGCUCGUAGGCGGUUUGUCGCGUCGGGAGUGAAAACCAUGGGCUUAACUCAUGGCUUGCUUCCGAUACGGGCAGACUAGAGGUAUGCAGGGGAGAACGGAAUUCCUGGUGUAGCGGUGAAAUGCGUAGAUAUCUGGAGGAACACCGGUGGCGAAGGCGGCAUUCUGGACCGAUAUUGACGCUGAGGAGCGAAAGCCAGGGGAGCAAACAGG
This 253-nucleotide ribosomal RNA is filed under the name uncultured bacterium. Its description in RNAcentral is "partial 16S ribosomal RNA". It matches the Rfam family "Bacterial small subunit ribosomal RNA", at positions 524 to 776 of the family's 1533-position model. The record is from RNAcentral.